UUAAGCGACUAAGCGUACACGGUGGAUGCCCUGGCAGUCAGAGGCGAUGAAGGACGUGCUAAUCUGCGAUAAGCGUCGGUAAGGUGAUAUGAACCGUUAUAACCGGCGAUUUCCGAAUGGGGAAACCCAGUGUGUUUCGACACACUAUCAUUAACUGAAUCCAUAGGUUAAUGAGGCGAACCGGGGGAACUGAAACAUCUAAGUACCCCGAGGAAAAGAAAUCAACCGAGAUUCCCCCAGUAGCGGCGAGCGAACGGGGAGCAGCCCAGAGCCUGAAUCAGUGUGUGUGUUAGUGGAAGCGUCUGGAAAGGCGCGCGAUACAGGGUGACAGCCCCGUACACAAAAAUGCACAUAUUGUGAGCUCGAUGAGUAGGGCGGGACACGUGGUAUCCUGUCUGAAUAUGGGGGGACCAUCCUCCAAGGCUAAAUACUCCUGACUGACCGAUAGUGAACCAGUACCGUGAGGGAAAGGCGAAAAGAACCCCGGCGAGGGGAGUGAAAAAGAACCUGAAACCGUGUACGUACAAGCAGUGGGAGCCUCUUUUAUGGGGUGACUGCGUACCUUUUGUAUAAUGGGUCAGCGACUUAUAUUCUGUAGCAAGGUUAACCGAAUAGGGGAGCCGAAGGGAAACCGAGUCUUAACUGGGCGUUAAGUUGCAGGGUAUAGACCCGAAACCCGGUGAUCUAGCCAUGGGCAGGUUGAAGGUUGGGUAACACUAACUGGAGGACCGAACCGACUAAUGUUGAAAAAUUAGCGGAUGACUUGUGGCUGGGGGUGAAAGGCCAAUCAAACCGGGAGAUAGCUGGUUCUCCCCGAAAGCUAUUUAGGUAGCGCCUCGUGAAUUCAUCUCCGGGGGUAGAGCACUGUUUCGGCAAGGGGGUCAUCCCGACUUACCAACCCGAUGCAAACUGCGAAUACCGGAGAAUGUUAUCACGGGAGACACACGGCGGGUGCUAACGUCCGUCGUGAAGAGGGAAACAACCCAGACCGCCAGCUAAGGUCCCAAAGUCAUGGUUAAGUGGGAAACGAUGUGGGAAGGCCCAGACAGCCAGGAUGUUGGCUUAGAAGCAGCCAUCAUUUAAAGAAAGCGUAAUAGCUCACUGGUCGAGUCGGCCUGCGCGGAAGAUGUAACGGGGCUAAACCAUGCACCGAAGCUGCGGCAGCGACACUAUGUGUUGUUGGGUAGGGGAGCGUUCUGUAAGCCUGUGAAGGUGUGCUGUGAGGCAUGCUGGAGGUAUCAGAAGUGCGAAUGCUGACAUAAGUAACGAUAAAGCGGGUGAAAAGCCCGCUCGCCGGAAGACCAAGGGUUCCUGUCCAACGUUAAUCGGGGCAGGGUGAGUCGACCCCUAAGGCGAGGCCGAAAGGCGUAGUCGAUGGGAAACAGGUUAAUAUUCCUGUACUUGGUGUUACUGCGAAGGGGGGACGGAGAAGGCUAUGUUGGCCGGGCGACGGUUGUCCCGGUUUAAGCGUGUAGGCUGGUUUUCCAGGCAAAUCCGGAAAAUCAAGGCUGAGGCGUGAUGACGAGGCACUACGGUGCUGAAGCAACAAAUGCCCUGCUUCCAGGAAAAGCCUCUAAGCAUCAGGUAACAUCAAAUCGUACCCCAAACCGACACAGGUGGUCAGGUAGAGAAUACCAAGGCGCUUGAGAGAACUCGGGUGAAGGAACUAGGCAAAAUGGUGCCGUAACUUCGGGAGAAGGCACGCUGAUAUGUAGGUGAAGUCCCUCGCGGAUGGAGCUGAAAUCAGUCGAAGAUACCAGCUGGCUGCAACUGUUUAUUAAAAACACAGCACUGUGCAAACACGAAAGUGGACGUAUACGGUGUGACGCCUGCCCGGUGCCGGAAGGUUAAUUGAUGGGGUUAGCGCAAGCGAAGCUCUUGAUCGAAGCCCCGGUAAACGGCGGCCGUAACUAUAACGGUCCUAAGGUAGCGAAAUUCCUUGUCGGGUAAGUUCCGACCUGCACGAAUGGCGUAAUGAUGGCCAGGCUGUCUCCACCCGAGACUCAGUGAAAUUGAACUCGCUGUGAAGAUGCAGUGUACCCGCGGCAAGACGGAAAGACCCCGUGAACCUUUACUAUAGCUUGACACUGAACAUUGAGCCUUGAUGUGUAGGAUAGGUGGGAGGCUUAGAAGUGUGGACGCCAGUCUGCAUGGAGCCGACCUUGAAAUACCACCCUUUAAUGUUUGAUGUUCUAACGUUGACCCGUAAUCCGGGUUGCGGACAGUGUCUGGUGGGUAGUUUGACUGGGGCGGUCUCCUCCUAAAGAGUAACGGAGGAGCACGAAGGUUGGCUAAUCCUGGUCGGACAUCAGGAGGUUAGUGCAAUGGCAUAAGCCAGCUUGACUGCGAGCGUGACGGCGCGAGCAGGUGCGAAAGCAGGUCAUAGUGAUCCGGUGGUUCUGAAUGGAAGGGCCAUCGCUCAACGGAUAAAAGGUACUCCGGGGAUAACAGGCUGAUACCGCCCAAGAGUUCAUAUCGACGGCGGUGUUUGGCACCUCGAUGUCGGCUCAUCACAUCCUGGGGCUGAAGUAGGUCCCAAGGGUAUGGCUGUUCGCCAUUUAAAGUGGUACGCGAGCUGGGUUUAGAACGUCGUGAGACAGUUCGGUCCCUAUCUGCCGUGGGCGCUGGAGAACUGAGGGGGGCUGCUCCUAGUACGAGAGGACCGGAGUGGACGCAUCACUGGUGUUCGGGUUGUCAUGCCAAUGGCACUGCCCGGUAGCUAAAUGCGGAAGAGAUAAGUGCUGAAAGCAUCUAAGCACGAAACUUGCCCCGAGAUGAGUUCUCCCUGACUCCUUGAGAGUCCUGAAGGAACGUUGAAGACGACGACGUUGAUAGGCCGGGUGUGUAAGCGCAGCGAUGCGUUGAGCUAACCGGUACUAAUGAACCGUGAGGCUUAACCUU
RNAcentral lists this ribosomal RNA (2901 nucleotides) under Escherichia coli TA054. Its description in RNAcentral is "bacterial LSU rRNA". It matches the Rfam family "Bacterial large subunit ribosomal RNA". Lineage: Bacteria; Pseudomonadati; Pseudomonadota; Gammaproteobacteria; Enterobacterales; Enterobacteriaceae. The record is from RNAcentral.